RNAcentral lists this long non-coding RNA (963 nucleotides) under Homo sapiens (human). Its description in RNAcentral is "HSALNT0346624". Lineage: Eukaryota; Metazoa; Chordata; Mammalia; Primates; Hominidae. The record is from RNAcentral.
UCUCAAAAAAAAAAAAAGGGGAAGUCUAAUUACUUAUGAAUUCCUCAGAUAAGGAGUAUUGCCUCUGGAUGGUCCACUUGAUAGCCACCAGGUGAUCUUUGCUCUCCUCAGUUCUCAGUCCUUGGAUAUUGUUAGGGACAAACUGCCCAAAGAAAGCUUCUUUGGUGCUGCCCACCCCUCCCCCUAAUGCUCUGCAACUCUUCUCUGUGCCACCCACCCUUCCCCAAGUCUCUUUACAUUUCUAAGCCCUUAUCAAGGGCCAUGGUGAAGCCAGCCGACUUUCACUUAUCAGACCUUGCUGCGAUAAGCAAACCCCAAUUACAAACCACUCAGACCGCAUAGGGGAAGGUUGUGGGAAGCAUAAACAAACUUUACCUACACCCUCCUGUAAUAAACGUCACAAGGUGAUAUGUGGCAAAAUUAACCAGCAAACAACCCCAGGAUGCGGCCAUACCAAAGAACUCCCUCAAGCUACUUUCCCCAAUAUAAACCCCUCAUUCUGUAAGCUUGGUGCUGCUUCCCUUGACUGUUAAGGGGUCAGCCGGCAGGUUAAUAAAAACUUGCUCGCCUGACUUUGGGUCUAUUUUUCCUUUCUCUUGGCUGACCUUACAUUCUGGUGCCGAAACCGGGAAGGGGAUAGACUCUGGCCGGCUCUCGCUCUCUGUCUCUCUCUCUCUCACUCUCUCUUUCUCUCUCUCUCUCCCCCUCCCUCCCCUAUCACCUAUCUCCUGGCCAGUCUCUCCCCUUCCCUGAACCUGCCGAAGUCCCAGAGAAUCUCCUAGACUCUCCCACUGCUGACGACUUCAUCCACCAUCAAAGCCUCCGCCAGGCUCCUCGGCCUAGCCACUGAAGACUGACAAGGCCCAGGGCCCCUGGCCCCCACUGCCAUCACUGCAUGGAGCCCAGUGUAACUCUACUGGUAGCAGAAGGAGUCUUGCUCUGUCGCCCAGGCUGGAGUGCGGU